AGUGAACGCUGGCGGUAGGCCUAACACAUGCAAGUCGAACGCCAGAACAGUAAGAGCUUGCUCUUACGGGUGGCGAGUGGCGGACGGGUGAGGAAUACAUCGGAAUCUACUUUUUCGUGGGGGAUAACGUAGGGAAACUUACGCUAAUACCUCAUACGACCUACGGGUGAAAUCAGGUGAUCUUCGUACCUUGCGAUAUUGAAUGAAUCGAUGUCGGAUUAGCUAGUUGGCGGGUUAAAGGCCCACCAAGGCGACGAUCCGUAGCUGGUCUGACAGGAUGGUCAGCCACACUGGAACUGGAACACGGUCCAGACUCCUACGGGAGGCAGCAGUGGGGAAUAUUGGACAAUGGGCGCAAGCCGGAUCCAGCCAUACCGCGUGGGUGAAGAAGGCCUUCGGGUUGUAAAGCCCUUUUGUUGGGAAAGAAAAGCAGCAGGUUAAUACCCCGCUGUUCUGACGGUACCCAAAGAAUAAGCACCGGCUAACUUCGUG
This 492-nucleotide ribosomal RNA is filed under the name uncultured bacterium. Its description in RNAcentral is "partial 16S ribosomal RNA". It matches the Rfam family "Bacterial small subunit ribosomal RNA", at positions 29 to 507 of the family's 1533-position model. The record is from RNAcentral.